GGAUCUUCUCAGACAUCUGGCUGGGACUGAAUGGCUCAACUUCUGUAAAACAAAAGAAGACAUGACAUCAUCUUCCUGUUCCUAUGGGUUUUUUCGCAAUUGAAAUUGUUACCCCAGAGCCAUUCUAAACCAUGGUCAAAGAUAUAUCCACAAUCCUCCCCUGGAUUUUCCUCCCCUGGGGAUUCUGACAGAGGAGGGUGAAAGGCUUGAACCUCUACUUCCAUGAAUGAAUAGCCCGGCUUGAUCAACUUGAGUAUAAAUGCUGGAUUUGGGUGCAAGAUGAACCUGCAUGUAAUUCUCCAACCCACUUUAUAGAGGUCAGAGCAAGCAAAGCUGUCUUGUAUGAGACAACUUUCAUAUCUGCUUCCUCUAAGGGUUCAAAUGGGGCUUCCCUGAGUGCAUCCAGGACCAAGGACAGAUCCCCUGCUGGUAACAUGGGUCUGAGAACUGGUCUCAGGUGGCGCACACCCUUCAUAAAUCUAAUUAUGAUAGCAUACUGUUUCACCAUUAAAUCCCAUGUGACAUGAUGAAAUGGCCGCCAGGUACACUUUGAUUAUAUAGAAUGCCUUCCCUUCAUCUAGUAUCUCCUGAAGGAAGGUAAGAAUGCCAGGUACUGAGGAAAGGAAUGGUAUAUUUUGUCUUUCCUGACACCGUGUCUCAAAUUUUCUGGUGGAUUGCACUCUAGCACUCUGGAUGGUAAAAAGCCUAGAGCAUUAAGGUUAGACCUCUCACAGGCCAGACCCCGAGAUUCCACCUCUGUGGAUGUGAAUGAAAAAUCCUCCCUCAUACUAGGGAGGGAAAGUCUCUGGCCUGAGGAAGGUACCACAGACCUGAAUACAGCAGUUGAACUAUCUCCGCUGUCCAUGGCCUCCCAUUCACUCCAAAGCAAACAAAUCCACAUCUGCCUGGCCAUAUUUGUCCAAUAUCCCCUGACCACCUUUGGGUGGAGCCUCCAUUCCCCUAGGUGAUGAUUCCCCUGAUAUUUACUAGGCCUGGAACUUGUGUCGUGAGGGACAGCAAGUGUUUCCUGUUCCAUAGCAGCACUCUCCUUGCCAGGGCAUGCAGACUUCUCGACCGGAUGCCUCCCUGCCUAUUUAUUCCCUGUCUUGCCAAAUGAGCAGAGCCUUGAGACAGUGGCCUGAGACCUCCUUGUGCAGAUAUCUGGAGGGAUAUAAUUUCAGAGAAGCGGUCCAUCUCUCAUGAACAACAGCCCCAAAGGCACUACGGCUAUGACUGAAGCCAUGAGUCCCAGUCAUCUCAGACACAGUCAAAAAGAGACUGUCUUCCCUAGGCGAAACUGAUUCACACAGUUCCAUAAACUCCCCCUUUUCUGCUCUGAGAGGGUUGCCCAGUAAGUUAUUGAGUUCAGGUUCAAAAUCCAGAAAUACCACUGAUUGUGCUGGGGUUACAAGCUCGUCUUCUGGAUCACUACAAACCCCAGAGAAUUUAAAUGUAUUAAUACUGCUCUUGUAUGCAACUCCGCCAUCUCCCUUGAUCUGGCACAGAUUAACCAGUCAUUGAGAUAUGCUAAUAUCCUUAUGCCCUGCUGGCUCUAUGGUGUCAAUGCCACUUUCACACAUUUUGUGAAAAUGCUGGGUGCUAGAGAAAGGCUAAACGGUAGAACCCUGAACCCAUAUGUCGUGCCUUUGAACACAAACCUCUGUGCUGGGGAUGGAUCUGGAUGUGAAAAUAUGCAUCCUUUAGAUCAAUUAAGGUGAACCAGUCUGCCCUCUGUAUAGAAUGAUAUGUUUUUUUUAUGCAUCAGCAUUCUGAACUUGUAAUUCCUCAGGUAUUACCUGAGGAAUUACCUGAGUGCCUCCCACUUUCUUUGGAACAAGAAAAUACUGACUGAAGAACCCCUUCUUUGAUUCCUCUGCCGGUAUCACCUGAAUUGCUUUAUUGCUAAAUUUAUUUCCUACCUCAAAAUGUUUGCAUUCUCUCCCUUUACUUUUGACUGUCUUAUCCCUGAGAAACAAGUUUUUUUUCCUUUUUCUUUUUGCCACUUGAGCGAAGGACUUUCAUUGCCAGGAGGAAGGGUGUUUAUCCUGGUCAUAUGGAAUUUCCCCCCGUGAGGAUGUAUUUCCCCUCCUCAGGCCCUGCCAAAAUGCUUGUCCUCCUGCAGCUUCCACAUGUGAGAUUCGUCACAGUGUGGAUCUCCAUCCACACCUCAGUCACGUCUUUUCACUAAGACAAGGCCCCUGACAUCUCCAUCUCUAACUCGGCGCUGUAAACCAAAAGAAAAGUGAUUGCACUGAUAGCGCGCUCCCAUCUGAGCAAAAGAUUUAUAAAUCUUCUCAAAAAUCAAUGAUGAGAAUCGAUCAGAUCUUUGAGGCAGCUUAAGGGCGAUGGUGGAUAAUCUGAACACUGUCUCUGGAUGACAGUCAUAUUUCCCAGUAUUUCAUUAGAUCAUCUAUGCAAUUCUGCAUAGGUGGAAGUGACUGAUGAAUUGUCGAGGUGGUAGGAAGUAAGAAUUUCCUAUCUGUUGAGGUGGUAGGAAGUAGGAUUUUCCCAUCUAGCCUUAAGCAUUUUGCAUCUGCGAGAGCCGACAGCCAGUCAAUGCCCAACUGGUUCGCCACCUAAUUGUAAGCCUCAUGCAGAGUUACACACCCUGCUGCCGUCUGCUGGUCAUCUACCCCUGUAAGUAACCUGGGGACUCCAUUUGGGGAACAAAUGGAUCUUACUCGUCCUCCUCCUCGCCCUCAUCUGACAAAUAUUCCGAGGCAGCAAUGGAAAGGGAAUCAUUGUGAAGUGAAGUGACGUGAAGGCCAAGUAUGGUAACCCAUACUCGGUAUUUGUCCUCUGCACUCACAUUAUGGGCAGUGAGUAGUGAACACACACAGACACACACACACACUGCAAGUCAUAGACACACAUCUGGAGCAGUGGGCAGCCAUUUGCUGCGGCGCCCGGGAAGUGAUUGGGGGUUAGGUGCCUUGCUCAAGGGCACCACAGUCAUGGGUAUUGAGGGUCGAAGAGUGCACUGUUCAUUCACUCCCCCACCUACAUUUUUCCUGCCGGUAUCGAGAAUCGAAUCCGCAACCUUUGGGUUACAAGUCUGACUCUCUAACCAUCAGGCCAUGACUGCAUCUGGUAGGACCUUUGGGAAUGGUUCAAUUUACAUCACGAAAGCGACCGGUUCCCCAAGCACGUCGGAAGGAGUAAGCUACCAAAAUCGUCAUCGAGAUUGCAUAGGAGAUUGCUUUUUUUGUUUCGGGGGAUGCUGCCAUGCUGUCUCCCCCCUGUAAGGAAUCAUGACACAUGUCCUGUACAAACACCGCUCUCCUGCGCAGUGCUCCAUUUGAAAGUUUGCUGCACUGCUUACAGGAGAUUGGUGUCUGUAAUGAUGCUUGGGCAUGCUCUGGGCCCAGACAUGCCGGGCAUACCACAUGCAGAUUCCUAGCUGCAAUAGCGAAUCCACACCCCCCAGGACAAGUGCGAGAAGGUGCUCUGGACUUGUUAGACUCCAUAGAAGAAGCCAUGCUCAACUGGAUUUCAGACUUGAUGAUUUCUUCAAUGACAUCCUCCAGGGUGAUAAUGCCAAGAACUUCGUAGAAUGGGUCACCUUCACCUUCGUUGUUAACCCGCUGGACUAUUGCCAGGUGGCGCUAUGACUAACUGAAUAUUGCCAUACAGACGUAUUCAGGCCAGGACUCUUAUCACACUUGUGAAGUUUGGGGCAGAUCGGACAUUGUAUGCCUGAGUUACAACAGCUUCCUCUUUCAUGGCGAAACAUCAGACUUUGUCAGGCUGCCACGGACACGCCCUUCAACGAAAACUCAAGAUCUUUGCAAUUUAACAUCGCUAAGGCCUUAAGAUUAGACUGAUCAUAUAUGAUGUGGUUCUGGUUAAAUGGCUAUGAGGAGUUAAUCACAGUGUAAAACAUGUCAUUUCCUGUUGACCGCAGGUACUUAUUAAUAGUUAGUAAGUUUGUGGUUAAGUUUAGGUAUUUGAUAGGAUUAAGGAUGUAGAAUAUUGUCAUGCAGAAUAAGGCAUUAAUAUGGGCUUAUUAAGUACUAAUAAACAGCCAAUAUUCUAAUAAUAUGCAUGCUAAUAAGCAACUAGCUAAAUGACCCUAAAAUAAAGUAUUACCAUUAUUUCACUUGUUUGCACACUUCAAUUAAUAACAACUGAUAUUUUAGUAUGACAAUGUUCAAUGUUUUGAUUGUGUUAAAUGAGUUUUGGCAAUGAAAUAAAAUGUUUGCUUAUUUGUAGAUCAAUACAUAUUAAAUGUCUGUAGAAAUCUUUCCUAUUAGUGCUGACUAAUGACUAGUGCUGGCUAAAAUAAAUAACAAACAUGGUUCAUCAAUCAGUACUUUUUACUUUUAAUACAUAAGUACUUUUACUCAAGUAAAAUUAAAAAUGAGUAAUUAUACUUUUAGUAAUAUUUUUGUUACAGAUGUACUUUAACUCAAGUACCAGAUACUUUUUCAACCACUGUUUGUGUGUGUGUGUGUGUGUGUGUGUGUGUGUGUGUAAACCAUGCAUGUGAGUAACCAGUUGCGACUGCAACAAGCUACACUGAUUGAUUGAUUGA
Molecule: long non-coding RNA, 4534 nt
Organism: Ctenopharyngodon idella (grass carp)
Lineage: Eukaryota; Metazoa; Chordata; Actinopteri; Cypriniformes; Xenocyprididae
Exons: 4
Source: RefSeq, a predicted model, not a curated record